AAAAAAAAAAAAACCCC
This 17-nucleotide ribosomal RNA is filed under the name Stereophaedusa inclyta. Its description in RNAcentral is "Luchuphaedusa inclyta partial 5.8S rRNA". The record is from RNAcentral. Lineage: Eukaryota; Metazoa; Mollusca; Gastropoda; Stylommatophora; Clausiliidae.